UACGGAGGGGGCGAGCGUUAUUCGGAAUUACUGGGCGUAAAGGGCGCGCAGGCGGUUUUUUAAGUCAGAUGUGAAAGCCCGGGGCUCAACCCCGGAAGUGCAUCUGAUACUGGAAGGCUUGAGUAUGGGAGAGGGAAGUGGAAUUCCUGGUGUAGCGGUGAAAUGCGUAGAUAUCAGGAGGAACACCUGUGGCGAAGGCGACUUCCUGGACCAAUACUGACGCUGAGGCGCGAAGGCGUGGGGAGCAAACAGG
Molecule: ribosomal RNA, 253 nt
Filed under: uncultured bacterium
Lineage: Bacteria
Description: partial 16S ribosomal RNA
Rfam family: Bacterial small subunit ribosomal RNA
Source: RNAcentral